RNAcentral lists this long non-coding RNA (554 nucleotides) under Trifolium pratense (red clover). RNAcentral's name for it is "long non-coding RNA (TPRA_LNC011066)". Lineage: Eukaryota; Viridiplantae; Streptophyta; Magnoliopsida; Fabales; Fabaceae. The record is from RNAcentral.
GCUUAAAUGCACUUUUGAUCCUCCUAUUUUCAAAAAAAUGAAGUUUUGGUCCCCCUAUUUUAAAAACCAGUUUUUUAGUCCCCCUAUUUUCAUUUUUUUUUAGUUUUGAUCCCUCAUCCCAUUUUGAAGUUAAUUUUGUUCAUGUGGCCUUGUAACUAAUGAUGUGGGAACAUUCAUGUGGACAAAUUUAAUAUCCAUGUCAUUAUUAUAUAAUUUUAAUGGGGGCUAUGGAUUGUUUGGUGUGAUUUUUGAUGUUUUUGAAUUAUUUUUUGAUUGAUUUCUUUUUAAAAAAUACUAUAAUUUUAAUAAUUAAAAUAUUUUAUAAAAUAAGUUUUAUUGAAUUAAAAAUAAAUAAUGACAUGGAUAUUAAAUUUGUCCACGUGGACGCUGAUAUGUAUUAAUGGCAAUGCCACGUCAACAAAAUUAGCCCUAAAAUGGGAUGGGGGAUCAAAACUCAAAAAAAGUUAAAAUUGGGGGACUAAAAAGUUGGUUUUUAAAAUAGGGGGACCAAAACUUCAUUUUUUUGAAAAUAGGGGGAUCAAAAGUGCAUUUAA